RNAcentral lists this ribosomal RNA (117 nucleotides) under Ruminococcus sp. Lineage: Bacteria; Bacillati; Bacillota; Clostridia; Eubacteriales; Oscillospiraceae. The record is from RNAcentral. RNAcentral also lists the same sequence under 1 other name.
GUUGGUGUUGAUGACGCAGAGGGUACACCUGUUCCCAUUCCGAACACAGAAGUUAAGCUCUGUAGUGCCGAUGAUACUUGGCUGGCAACGGCCCGGGAAAAUAGGAAGAUGCCAACA